Molecule: ribosomal RNA, 497 nt
Filed under: uncultured bacterium
Lineage: Bacteria
Description: partial 16S ribosomal RNA
Rfam family: Bacterial small subunit ribosomal RNA
Source: RNAcentral
GAUGAACGCUGGCGGCGUGCCUAAUACAUGCAAGUCGAGCGAACGGACGAGAAGCUUGCUUCUCUGAUGUUAGCGGCGGACGGGUGAGUAACACGUGGAUAACCUACCUAUAAGACUGGGAUAACUUCGGGAAACCGGAGCUAAUACCGGAUAAUAUUUUGAACCGCAUGGUUCAAAAGUGAAAGACGGUCUUGCUGUCACUUAUAGAUGGAUCCGCGCUGCAUUAGCUAGUUGGUAAGGUAACGGCUUACCAAGGCAACGAUGCAUAGCCGACCAGAGAGGGUGAUCGGCCACACUGGAACUGAGACACGGUCCAGACUCCUACGGGAGGCAGCAGUAGGGAAUCUUCCGCAAUGGGCGAAAGCCUGACGGAGCAACGCCGCGUGAGUGAUGAAGGUCUUCGGAUCGUAAAACUCUGUUAUUGGGGAAGAACAUAUGUGUAAGUAACUGUGCACAUCUUGACGGUACCUAAUCAGAAAGCCACGGCUAACUACGUG